UACGGGGGGGGCAAGCGUUGUUCGGAAUUACUGGGCGUAAAGGGCUCGUAGGUGGCCAACUAAGUCAGACGUGAAAUCCCUCGGCUUAACCGGGGAACUGCCUUUGAUACUGAAGAUCUUGAGUCCGGGAGAGGUGAGUGGAACUGCGAGUGUAGAGGUGAAAUUCGUAGAUAUUCGCAAGAACACCAGUGGCGAAGGCGGCUCACUGGCCCGGUACUGACGCUGAGGCACGAAAGCGUGGGGAGCAAACAGG
Molecule: ribosomal RNA, 253 nt
Filed under: uncultured bacterium
Lineage: Bacteria
Description: partial 16S ribosomal RNA
Rfam family: Bacterial small subunit ribosomal RNA
Source: RNAcentral